RNAcentral lists this ribosomal RNA (499 nucleotides) under uncultured Glomeromycotina. Its description in RNAcentral is "partial small subunit ribosomal RNA". It matches the Rfam family "Eukaryotic small subunit ribosomal RNA", at positions 591 to 1092 of the family's 1831-position model. The record is from RNAcentral. Lineage: Eukaryota; Fungi; Glomeromycota.
CCAAUAGCGUAUAUUAAAGUUGUUGCAGUUAAAAAGCUCGUAGUUGAAUUUCGGGACCAAUUUGUUGGUCGUGCCUCGGUACGUACUGGUAUUAUUGGUUUCUCCCUUCUGAAGAACCUCGAUGCCAUUAAUUUGGUGUCGUGGGGAAUCAGGACUGUUACUUUGAAAAAAUUAGAGUGUUUAAAGCAGGCAUACGCUUGAACACAUUAGCAUGGAAUAAUGAAAUAGGACGUUUGAUUCUACUUUGUUGGUUUCUAGGAUCGACGUAAUGAUUAAUAGGGAUAGUUGGGGGCAUUAGUAUUCAAUUGUCAGAGGUGAAAUUCUUGGAUUUAUUGAGGACUAACUACUGCGAAAGCAUUUGCCAAGGAUGUUUUCAUUAAUCAAGAACGAAAGUUAGGGGAUCGAAGACGAUCAGAUACCGUCGUAGUCUUAACCAUAAACUAUGCCGACUAGGGAUCGGAUGAUGUUAAUUUUUUAAUGACUCAUUCGGCGCCUUACA